RNAcentral lists this ribosomal RNA (253 nucleotides) under uncultured bacterium. RNAcentral's name for it is "partial 16S ribosomal RNA". It matches the Rfam family "Bacterial small subunit ribosomal RNA", at positions 524 to 776 of the family's 1533-position model. The record is from RNAcentral.
UACGGAGGAGGCAAGCGUUAUCCGGAAUUAUUGGGCGUAAAGCGUCCGUAGGUGGCUAGUCAAGUCUGCGGUCAAAGACUGGGGCUUAACCCUGGAAAGGCCGUGGAAACUGACGAGCUAGAGUGCAGUAGGGGUAGAGGGAAUUCCCGGUGUAGCGGUGAAAUGCAUAGAGCUCGGGAAGAACAUCGGUGGCGAAAGCGCUCUACUGGACUGCAACUGACACUCAGGGACGAAAGCUAGGGGAGCGAAUGGG